RNAcentral lists this ribosomal RNA (492 nucleotides) under uncultured bacterium. RNAcentral describes it as "partial 16S ribosomal RNA". It matches the Rfam family "Bacterial small subunit ribosomal RNA", at positions 29 to 507 of the family's 1533-position model. The record is from RNAcentral.
AGUGAACGCUGGCGGUAGGCCUAACACAUGCAAGUCGAACGGCAGCACAGUAAGAGCUUGCUCUUACGGGUGGCGAGUGGCGGACGGGUGAGGAAUAAAUCGGAAUCUACUUUUUCGUGGGGGAUAACGUAGGGAAACUUACGCUAAUACCGCAUACGACCUACGGGUGAAAGCAGGGGAUCUUCGGACCUUGCGCGAUUGAAUGAGCCGAUGUCGGAUUAGCUAGUUGGCGGGGUAAAGGCCCACCAAGGCGACGAUCCGUAGCUGGUCUGAGAGGAUGAUCAGCCACACUGGAACUGAGACACGGACCAGACUCCUACGGGAGGCAGCAGUGGGGAAUAUUGGACAAUGGGCGCAAGCCUGAUCCAGCCAUACCGCGUGGGUGAAGAAGGCCUUCGGGUUGUAAAGCCCUUUUGUUGGGAAAGAAAAGCAGCAGGUUAAUACCCCGCUGUUCUGACGGUACCCAAAGAAUAAGCACCGGCUAACUACGUG